This 604-nucleotide ribosomal RNA is filed under the name Vibrio vulnificus. RNAcentral describes it as "bacterial SSU rRNA". It matches the Rfam family "Bacterial small subunit ribosomal RNA", at positions 56 to 650 of the family's 1533-position model. Lineage: Bacteria; Pseudomonadati; Pseudomonadota; Gammaproteobacteria; Vibrionales; Vibrionaceae. The record is from RNAcentral.
UGCAGUCGAGCGGCAGCACAGAGGAACUUGUUCCUUGGGUGGCGAGCGGCGGACGGGUGAGUAAUGCCUGGGAAAUUGCCCUGAUGUGGGGGAUAACCAUUGGAAACGAUGGCUAAUACCGCAUGAUGCCUACGGGCCAAAGAGGGGGACCUUCGGGCCUCUCGCGUCAGGAUAUGCCCAGGUGGGAUUAGCUAGUUGGUGAGGUAAUGGCUCACCAAGGCGACGAUCCCUAGCUGGUCUGAGAGGAUGAUCAGCCACACUGGAACUGAGACACGGUCCAGACUCCUACGGGAGGCAGCAGUGGGGAAUAUUGCACAAUGGGCGCAAGCCUGAUGCAGCCAUGCCGCGUGUAUGAAGAAGGCCUUCGGGUUGUAAAGUACUUUCAGUCGUGAGGAAGGUUGUAGUGUGAAUAGCACUAUGAUUUGACGUUAGCGACAGAAGAAGCACCGGCUAACUCCGUGCCAGCAGCCGCGGUAAUACGGAGGGUGCGAGCGUUAAUCGGAAUUACUGGGCGUAAAGCGCAUGCAGGUGGUUUGUUAAGUCAGAUGUGAAAGCCCUGGGCUCAACCUAGGAGUUGCAUUUGAAACUGACAAGCUAGAGUACU